RNAcentral lists this transfer RNA (67 nucleotides) under Nanophyes marmoratus. Its description in RNAcentral is "tRNA-Ser". Lineage: Eukaryota; Metazoa; Arthropoda; Insecta; Coleoptera; Brentidae. The record is from RNAcentral. RNAcentral also lists the same sequence under 1 other name.
GAAAUAAGUAAUUCAAGACUAAGCUUCUAACUUAAGACUUAAGCGGUGAAACUCCGUUUUUAUUUCU